UUUUUGCGUUAAGGAUGGUAGUGACAUCCUUUUUUUUCUUCAAUAUAAGGCAAAAAAAGAUAUAACGAACAGCCUGUUAAAAC
RNAcentral lists this small RNA (83 nucleotides) under Mesoflavibacter zeaxanthinifaciens subsp. sabulilitoris. Its description in RNAcentral is "Flavo-1 RNA". It matches the Rfam family "Flavo-1 RNA". Lineage: Bacteria; Pseudomonadati; Bacteroidota; Flavobacteriia; Flavobacteriales; Flavobacteriaceae. The record is from RNAcentral.